Molecule: long non-coding RNA, 383 nt
Organism: Alligator sinensis (Chinese alligator)
Lineage: Eukaryota; Metazoa; Chordata; Crocodylia; Alligatoridae
Exons: 4
Source: RefSeq, a predicted model, not a curated record
GGCAGCCAAGGGGAAAGGAGCUCUGCCUGAGUGAGCAAAGAGGGAGGCCUGACUGCACUAGUAGCUACCAAUAUGGGUCGGAUCUCCAAGGCAGCUCCGAAGCUUCAGAGCCACUUCGGCCGGAUCAAAGCAGUAACCCAGUCCGGCACUCUGAAUCGGAUUACUGGCAUCUGAAGCGGCUGGAUCCGAAGCUGGAUUGAAUACCUGCCUACUCGCACGGGCCUACAGAGGAAUUUUUAUGUAAAGCAUAUUCUCCUCAUGUUUGAAGACUGCUGCAUCUGAACAGAACCCAGAGUCAACUCGGCUAUUAAAUUCCUCUCUCCAGUACCCAGCCUGAAGAGCACAAAGACAGCAUAUUCCUAAGAGUCCAAGUGAAAGAGGAA